This 93-nucleotide transfer RNA is filed under the name Aromia moschata. Its description in RNAcentral is "tRNA-OTHER". The record is from RNAcentral. Lineage: Eukaryota; Metazoa; Arthropoda; Insecta; Coleoptera; Cerambycidae.
GCGGCGAUAGCUCAGUGGGUAAAGCGCCUGGUGAGAAGAUGGCGAUUACUCCGAGAGCUAUUAUCCGCACGGGUUCAAAUCCCGCCUGUGGCA